GAUCCUGGCUCAGGAUGAACGCUAGCUACAGGCUUAACACAUGCAAGUCGAGGGGCAGCAUGACCUAGCAAUAGGUUGAUGGCGACCGGCGCACGGGUGAGUAACACGUAUCCAACCUACCGGUUAUUCCGGGAUAGCCUUUCGAAAGAAAGAUUAAUACCGGAUAGUAUAACGAGAAGGCAUCUUCUUUGUUUAUUUAAAGAAAUUUACGUAUAACCGAACUGGGGAGUGCGUUCCUACUUAGUUUUGUUUUGGUCGGGGGUAACGGGGACCCCGACCCAAACG
This 285-nucleotide ribosomal RNA is filed under the name uncultured bacterium. Its description in RNAcentral is "partial 16S ribosomal RNA". It matches the Rfam family "Bacterial small subunit ribosomal RNA", at positions 15 to 275 of the family's 1533-position model. The record is from RNAcentral.